This 83-nucleotide transfer RNA is filed under the name Homo sapiens (human). Its description in RNAcentral is "tRNA-Ser (AGA) 6-1 (TRS-AGA6-1)". It matches the Rfam family "tRNA". From Rfam's summary of the family: Transfer RNA (tRNA) molecules are approximately 80 nucleotides in length. Their secondary structure includes four short double-helical elements and three loops (D, anti-codon, and T loops). Lineage: Eukaryota; Metazoa; Chordata; Mammalia; Primates; Hominidae. The record is from RNAcentral.
GUGAGUUGUAGCUGAGUGGUUAAGGCAACGAGCUAGAAAUUCGUUGGUUUCUCUCUGUGCAGGUUUGAAUCCUGCUAAUUAUG